This 71-nucleotide transfer RNA is filed under the name Gaiellales bacterium. Its description in RNAcentral is "tRNA-Gln". It matches the Rfam family "tRNA". Rfam says of the family: Transfer RNA (tRNA) molecules are approximately 80 nucleotides in length. Their secondary structure includes four short double-helical elements and three loops (D, anti-codon, and T loops). Further hydrogen bonds mediate the characteristic L-shaped molecular structure. tRNAs have two regions of fundamental functional importance: the anti-codon, which is responsible for specific mRNA codon recognition, and the 3' end, to which the tRNAs corresponding amino acid is attached (by aminoacyl-tRNA synthetases). tRNAs cope with the degeneracy of the genetic code in two manners: having more than one tRNA (with a specific anti-codon) for a particular amino acid; and 'wobble' base-pairing, i.e. permitting non-standard base-pairing at the 3rd anti-codon position. Lineage: Bacteria; Bacillati; Actinomycetota; Thermoleophilia; Gaiellales. RNAcentral also lists the same sequence under 3 other names. The record is from RNAcentral.
UGCGGGAUCGUCUAAUGGUAGGACGCCUGACUCUGGAUCAGGUAGUCUAGGUUCGAAUCCUAGUCCCGCAG